Episyrphus balteatus (marmalade hoverfly) is the source of this 433-nucleotide long non-coding RNA. RefSeq lists it as uncharacterized. The record is from RefSeq and is a predicted model, not a curated record. NCBI's taxonomy places the organism in Eukaryota, Metazoa, Arthropoda, Insecta, Diptera, Syrphidae. The transcript has 2 exons.
AAAAAAAAAGAAAUAGAAUUGCUUUUGCAACUUUGAAUGUCAAUUGUUGUUUUGGAAGUAAAACCGUUUCCCGUUGGGUGGACACAAACAGCACACAAGACUUAAAGGCAAAUAAUAAUAUGAUACUCUCGCACUCGUACAAGGAUAUUCUGCAUCUUUUCCAGAGAGAGCGCUCAAUAUAAUACCGAUUAUUGUUGUCCUUUCUUCGGGCAAUAAAAAGCGCCAAAAUUAAGUAAGAAGUAUAGAAUUGGUAUAAUGUUUGGUCGCGCCAGAAGAGGAGCCAAGGACGAAUGGAAUUUAUUUCUUUACCUUGGAAAUAUUGCUCGCAAUUGUAUUUAUAUUUGUUAUUUCAUCAUUUUAUUUACUUUUUGUUGUUUAUUGUUUUGGAAAGUGAAAGUUUUAUUUGAAAAAAUAAGGAUAUGGGUUACUUUUA